GACGAACGCUGGCGGCGUGCUUAACACAUGCAAGUCGAACGGAAAGGCCCUGCUUGCAGGGUACUCGAGUGGCGAACGGGUGAGUAACACGUGGGUGAUCUGCCCUGCACUUCGGGAUAAGCCUGGGAAACUGGGUCUAAUACCGGAUAGGAGCCAUUUUUAGUGUGAUGGUUGGAAAGUUUUUUCGGUGUAGGCUGAGCUCGCGGCCUAUCAGCUUGUUGGUGGGGUAAUGGCCUACCAAGGCGGCGACGGGUAGCCGGCCUGGGAGGGUGGACGGCCACACUGGGACUGAGAUACGGCCCAGACACCUACGGGAGGCAGCAGGGGGGAAGAUUGCACAAGGGGCGCAAGCCUGAUGCAGCGACGCCGCGUGGGGGAUGACGGCCUUCGGGUUGUAAACUCCUUUCGCUAGGGACGAAGCUUUUUGUGACGGUACCUAGAUAAGAAGCACCGGCUAACUACGUG
RNAcentral lists this ribosomal RNA (465 nucleotides) under uncultured bacterium. RNAcentral describes it as "partial 16S ribosomal RNA". It matches the Rfam family "Bacterial small subunit ribosomal RNA", at positions 28 to 507 of the family's 1533-position model. The record is from RNAcentral.